RNAcentral lists this ribosomal RNA (778 nucleotides) under uncultured delta proteobacterium. Its description in RNAcentral is "bacterial SSU rRNA". It matches the Rfam family "Bacterial small subunit ribosomal RNA", at positions 674 to 1447 of the family's 1533-position model. The record is from RNAcentral. Lineage: Bacteria; Deltaproteobacteria.
UGUAGAGGUGAAAUCCGUAGAUAUCGGGAGGAAUACCAGAGGCGAAGGCGGGCUUCUGGACUGACACUGACGCUGAGGCACGAAAGCGUUGGGAGCAAACAGGAUUAGAUACCCUGGUAGUCCACGCCCUAAACGAUGGUUACUAGAUGAGGUGGGAUUUGAACCCUACCGUAUCGAAGCUAACGCGAUAAGUUACCCGCCUGGGGAGUACGGCCCGCAAAGCUAAAACUCAAAGGAAUUGACGGGGGCCCGGAACAAACGGUGAACAAUUUGUUUUAAUUCGAAACCAACGCGAAGACUUUACGUAGGCUGGACAUCCCCGGCUAACCAUAGAAAUAUGUGUUCCCUUUCGGGGACUGGGAAAACAGGUCUACAUGCCUGUCGUCAGUCUCGUGCCGUGAGGUGUUUUGAUUAAGUUCCAGCAACGAGCGCAAACCGUUGUUCUUGAGUUGCCACAUUCAGUUGGCACUCUAAGGAGACUGCCGGUGUUAACCCGGAGGAAGGUGGGGAUGACGUCAAGUCAGCAGGGCCCUUAUGUCUAGGGAUACACACGUGUAACAAUGGUUGCUACAAAGAGUGACAAGACCGCGAGGUGGAGCUAAUCUCAAAAAGCCAAUCCCAGUUCGGAUUGAAGUCUGCAAUUCGACUUCAGGAAGCUGGAAUCGCUAGUAAUCGUGGAUCAGCACGCCACGGUGAAUACGUUCCCGGGCUUUGUACACACCGCCCGUCACACCACGAAAGCUGUUUACACCUUAAGACGUCGCACUAACCGUAAGGG